CAAAUGACUCUCGGCAAUGGAUAUCUCGGCUCUUGCAUCGAUGAAGAACGUAGUGAAAUGCGAUACUUGGUGUGAAUUGCAGAAUCUCGCGAACCAUUGAGUCUUUGAACGCAAGUUGUGCCCGAGGCCUUGUGGUCGAGGGCACGCCUGCUUGGGUGUCAUG
This is a ribosomal RNA of 163 nucleotides. It matches the Rfam family "5.8S ribosomal RNA". From Rfam's summary of the family: 5.8S ribosomal RNA (5.8S rRNA) is a component of the large subunit of the eukaryotic ribosome.